GCCCUGGUAGCUCAAUUGGCUAGAGCGUGGGACUUUUAAAGACUCUUCUUCAGCAUGAAGCUGAAGGACGAGGCCUAGUGAUCCCAAGGUUGCGGGUUCGACCCCCGCCUGGGGCG
This 116-nucleotide transfer RNA is filed under the name Hypoxylon rubiginosum. Its description in RNAcentral is "tRNA-Lys". It matches the Rfam family "tRNA". From Rfam's summary of the family: Transfer RNA (tRNA) molecules are approximately 80 nucleotides in length. Their secondary structure includes four short double-helical elements and three loops (D, anti-codon, and T loops). The record is from RNAcentral. Lineage: Eukaryota; Fungi; Ascomycota; Sordariomycetes; Xylariales; Hypoxylaceae.